RNAcentral lists this ribosomal RNA (435 nucleotides) under Acrapex breviptera. RNAcentral's name for it is "partial 16S large subunit ribosomal RNA". The record is from RNAcentral. Lineage: Eukaryota; Metazoa; Arthropoda; Insecta; Lepidoptera; Noctuidae.
AAAAAAAUUAAAUGGCUGCAGUAUAUUGACUGUACAAAGGUAGCAUAAUCAUUAGUCAUUUAAUUGGUGACUUGUAUGAAGGAUUGGAUGAGAUAUAAACUGUCUUUUAUUUAAUUAUAAAAUUUAAUUUUUUUAUUAAAAAGUUAAAAUAAGUUAAAAAGACGAGAAGACCCUAUAGAGUUUUAUAAAUAAUUAAGUUAAGAUUAUAUUUAAAGUUUAAGUUUAAAAUUUAAAUAUUUAUUUUGUUGGGGUGAUAGAAAAAUAUAAAAAACUUUUUUUACAUAAAAACAUUUAUAAGUGAUUAAAUGAUCCAAUUUUAUUGAUUAUAAGAAAAAAUUACCUUAGGGAUAACAGCGUAAUUUUUUUUUUUAGUUCAAAUAAGAAAAAGAGUUUGCGACCUCGAUGUUGGAUUAAGAUAAAAUUUAAAUGUAGAAG